Molecule: ribosomal RNA, 503 nt
Filed under: uncultured bacterium
Lineage: Bacteria
Description: partial 16S ribosomal RNA
Rfam family: Bacterial small subunit ribosomal RNA
Source: RNAcentral
AUUGAACGCUGGCGGCAGGCUUAACACAUGCAAGUCGAGCGGAGUGAUGGUGCUUGCACUAUCACUUAGCGGCGGACGGGUGAGUAAUGCUUAGGAAUCUGCCUAUUAGUGGGGGACAACAUCUCGAAAGGGAUGCUAAUACCGCAUACGUCCUACGGGAGAAAGCAGGGGAUCACUUGUGACCUUGCGCUAAUAGAUGAGCCUAAGGCGGAUUAGCUAGUUGGUGGGGUAAAGGCCUACCAAGGCGACGAUCUGUAGCGGGUCUGAGAGGAUGAUCCGCCAAACUGGGACUGAGACACGGCCCAGACUCCUACGGGAGGCAGCAGUGGGGAAUAUUGGACAAUGGGGGGAACCCUGAUCCAGCCAUGCCGCGUGUGUGAAGAAGGCCUUAUGGUUGUAAAGCACUUUAAGCGAGGAGGAGGCUCUUUUGGUUAAUACCCAAGAUGAGUGGACGUUACUCGCAGAAUAAGCACCGGCUAACUCUGUGCCAGCAGCCGCCGUAA